CCUACGGGAGGCAGCAGUGGGGAAUAUUGGGCAAUGGGCGCAAGCCUGACCCAGCAACGCCGCGUGAAGGAAGAAGGCUUUCGGGUCGUAAACUUCUUUUCUGAGGGACGAAGAAAGUGACGGUACCCCAGGAAUAAGCCACGGCUAACUACGUGCCAGCAGCCGCGGUAAUACGUAGGUGGCAAGCGUUAUCCGGAUUUAUUGGGUGUAAAGGGCGUGUAGGCGGGAAAGCAAGUCAGAUGUGAAAACUCAGGGCUCAACCCUGAGCCUGCAUUAGAAACUGUUUUUCUUGAGUGCUGAAGAGGAGAUCGGAAUUCCGUGUGUAGCGGUGGAAUGCGUAGAUAUACGAAGGAACACCAGUGGCGAAGGCGGAUUGCUGGACAGUAACUGACGCUGAGGCGCGAAAGCAUGGGGAGCGAACAGGAUUAGAUACCCCGGUAGUC
RNAcentral lists this ribosomal RNA (443 nucleotides) under uncultured bacterium. RNAcentral's name for it is "partial 16S ribosomal RNA". It matches the Rfam family "Bacterial small subunit ribosomal RNA", at positions 338 to 795 of the family's 1533-position model. The record is from RNAcentral.